This 362-nucleotide ribosomal RNA is filed under the name Shigella flexneri. Its description in RNAcentral is "bacterial SSU rRNA". It matches the Rfam family "Bacterial small subunit ribosomal RNA", at positions 425 to 779 of the family's 1533-position model. The record is from RNAcentral. Lineage: Bacteria; Pseudomonadati; Pseudomonadota; Gammaproteobacteria; Enterobacterales; Enterobacteriaceae.
GUAAAGUACUUUCAGCGGGGAGGAAGGGAGUAAAGUUAAUACCUUUGCUCAUUGACGUUACCCGCAGAAGAAGCACCGGCUAACUCCGUGCCAGCAGCCGCGGUAAUACGGAGGGUGCAAGCGUUAAUCGGAAUUACUGGGCGUAAAGCGCACGCAGGCGGUUUGUUAAGUCAGAUGUGAAAUCCCCGGGCUCAACCUGGGAACUGCAUCUGAUACUGGCAAGCUUGAGUCUCGUAGAGGGGGGUAGAAUUCCAGGUGUAGCGGUGAAAUGCGUAGAGAUCUGGAGGAAUACCGGUGGCGAAGGCGGCCCCCUGGACGAAGACUGACGCUCAGGUGCGAAAGCGUGGGGAGCAAACAGGAUU